AAAGAACCCUGGGAAUGAGCCCAAUUCCUGCAAGGAACAGUGAGUUUGCCCAGGAGCAGGGGUUUGGAGAGAACCCAGGGAAACCGAGAGAUGCUAGAGAAGUGAAAAAGCUAUGGGUUGACUUGGCACAAGCUAUGCAGGAAGCUUCCAUCACUGUUCUGGAAUUAAAGGAGAAGAUAAAGACUCUCUGUGAUGGAAAGUUAAACCCCUAGAGAGGUCAACAAUAUUGAAGGCCAGUGCCAGAGCCAAGAAAACACACAGGAGUGAAGAUUCCCAGUCUAACCAGGUGACCAUAUGACUGACAUGGUGAACCACCUCCCAUCACCAAGAGGGAGGACCGUGUUGCAUGAUGGAAGAUGUAGUCCAACCAGCAAGCCCAGCCUUAAGAGGAGAAUUGAAGCAUGUGGCAUUUGAACUAAAAGUCCCACAAGACAUCAUGGCAGCAUUUCAGAACUGAAAUAUUUUGCUUUUCAAUAUUUUGCCAGAAACUCUAAACAAUAAAUCUCUUUACUUGUAAACUGAGCAUAUGUGAGA
Long non-coding RNA from Mauremys mutica (yellowpond turtle), 534 nucleotides. RefSeq lists it as uncharacterized. The transcript is spliced from 4 exons. The record is from RefSeq and is a predicted model, not a curated record. Lineage: Eukaryota; Metazoa; Chordata; Testudines; Geoemydidae.